CAGUUGCUCCUGUUCCUUCUUCCGAAGCUUUUCCCUUUGCUUUUCCAUUUUCUCUUGGGCUUUGCGAGCUUUCUCCAGGGAUGCUUUCAUUUCCUUUAGCUUCUUCUUAACGAUUGCCCUGUCCUGGGAAGAUGUCAUACCAAGAGCCUUAAGCUUACUCCCAUCCAGUUGAAGGAGAUGCUCCCCAUUAAUGUUUUGGGCGCUGAAUUCAGAAACGUACUGUUCGAGGUUCAGGCUCAUUAACCAGUGGGAAACCUGCUGCACACUCCACUCCUGAACAGCCCGGUUCUGGCACUGACUGUGCUUUGGAGACUGUCCAUCAUCGAGGAUCUGUGACAGAAAUGUGCCGCCUUAUUACUGGAAGGGUAACACUGAACAGCAGUAGCAUUUUUCUGCACAAACCACCAGCAUCAGAGCAGAGGUACCCCUACUGCCCUUAUACUUCUGUAACAACAAAUUAACACCUGCAUCUAACCAGGUAUCUAAGAACUGAUGCAAGGUACCUAAGAAGUUUCUAUUUAUAAUCAGGAGAAAGGAACUGGCAUUCCUUUUCAUCCACACGGGUUGAAAUGGCCAGGUGGCACAGGUCUAAGCAAGUACAGCUCCCACUCCCUCACAAGAUCUUUAUCCUUCAAGUUACAAGGUUUCUAAUGGAUACCAUUAGAAUUAUGCUAUCCACUUCCCAGGCACAUUCAUUGAUCUUUAUUGCGUAUUUAAGCUGCAAAACAAGAAAUUUAGGCGAAAAAAAAGCCUCAUAAAAACCAUUCUGAAGUUCAAAGUGGUGACACCAAACAGCCAGCGAGACUGAUGUUACCUACAGAAGACUAUGAGAUGACACAGGAACAGAAAGGAACACACAGCAAUCCCACAGCCUCCACCCUGCUCUCCACACAUCGUGCUGCCCAGGAGAAGAGCACAAACAGCACCAGGAGGGGCAGGUGGGCCUUCAGCUGCUUCAGCCCCGAGUGUCCUCUCUGCCACUUCCUUCCACCCAAGGGAAAGCUGGUGGGGCCUGAAACAAAAGCCACUCUGUGGAAACCCCAGCCAGCACAGCAGCUGCUACAGGCUGCUGCAGCUGUCGCCUGUUUGAACAGCUUUACCACUGGGUUAGAUGAUGUUGGGAGCUCUUUCAGCCUCUGGCCAUCCAUUUCUCAUGGAUGGGGAAAAGACAGUUUAAGCACAGUCUUUUCGUUCUCCAGCAGCCAGCAGAAUCUCAGUGCAGCUGAUGCUUGGCUUGGUGGGUGUGCUCUGGCACGGGCCCUCCUCCCCCUUCCAACAUACCACAAAAGCUGCAAUUUGCCAUGGCCUUGAAAGGAGAGGGGAGCUGAAGACAAGGCAGGAGGAGCCAGUGACAUCUGUGUGUUGUGCUCGAACAAGGGGAUUUGCCACACAACACAGUGAAACAAGAAGUGCAAAUUUGCAAAUGAGACAGUACAUUGCCACGCGAUGGUCACGCAAUUCACCACAACAGCACACUGGUAUCUCACCUCAUCAUCAAUCAUAUCCAGGCUCUGAGUGAGGGAGCAACAAAGAAAUGGGAAAGAAAAGCAUUAUAGAAACAAAAUACAGAACAUGUAACAGCAUGUAAAAGUUCGGGCAAGGGUAGCACCGAGAUUCGCAAACAGAUAAGGCUACUCAAAAAACAGAGAUUUCUUUGAAAAAAAUUACUUCCAGAAGAAGAAAGGUUAUGUUGAAAGCUCAGCACACACACGAUUUGGUAGCUAAGCCAGAGAUUGUGCCAGUGAAGCCCUGUGAGCUCCUGGUCAUGACACACUGGAACCAGUGGGACUUUGUGUGACGGCUCCAAUUGCAAGAGCAAAAACUACUUAGAGGACAACAGACCACAGGACCUGGGUUCCCUCCCUACCCUUUCCUUUCAUUCUCCUUCAAGUAAUUACAUGAGGUCUGCCCAAGAGCCAUGAGCAAGAGAGCGCUCGCAGCAAUGCACUACAGCAGGUCCAAGAACGGCAGCCUCACCAUGGCAGGGCACAACUUGGUACAAUGCAGAGUACAGAGAAAACCUAUUCAUUUUUAUAGACCUGUCCAAACAUGGAAUUUUAGAAGAGUCCAAGUAGAAACAAGCCAAAUGAAAGCAUUUUCCAACUUCUGGUUCUGUGGGAACCAGGGCACUGUUAGUUCCAGUGGGAACAGGGCACUGUCACACUAAAAUAUUUGAUAAAAUGGGAAGGAAAAUGAUAGAAGAAUGAAAAGUAUUAUCAAGGCAGUAUUAAUACUAAAUAAAGUAUGAAUGAUCUCUUUAUCGUUUUCAGUAAUUCACAGUAUAUGCAGUCUCCUAUCUACUACUCUCCUAUGACUCUUCUAAAUGUUUACCCUUUCUAAUCUGCAGUAAGUAACUGCUAAAGAACGACUGGCCUUGUAGACUUCCAUUUUGGCGAAGGGGGUUGGCACAGAAUGACUCUCAUUCUUUAAACCUGUGCAAAACAUGACAGCAGUAAUAACACAAGCCUGUCAUUGGAAAAAAGAAAAGGAAGCCAAAGAUUCUUGAAGUUCCUCCUCUCUAAAAAAAAACCCUGGCUCAAACCUCAAGUGAAAAAAUACAAAGUUCUUACUCAGCAUUUGUAAGAGGACAAAUGCAUAGGUUUCCUGAGUCCACAGGAUGUACAGUAGUAAGCUGUCUGACUGUGCAGCUUCACUGACAAUUGAGCCAAACAAGUAUCUUAGAAAUGUGUUUUCAAUAUAUUAUAUUCCGCUCAAUUCUGUCACUAAUUUAUGGGGUUGGGAAUGCUUUUUCACAUUAUCACAGGUCAAAAGCCAUCUAGUUUGAAGAAUCAAACUCAAAAUCCACUGUGUAUGUGCAAAGCAAGCACAAAGAAUGCAAACUGGAUUGACACAUACACACUCUAAUCACUGUAUACACACUGAGGUACAGAAUACACAAUAAUUGCAUGUACAGGUCAUUAUUAUUUUAAUAUGUCAUGGUAAAAAUAGUCUAGGUGCAGGUGCUUUACGUUUCAACCAUGUUUAUCCAAUUACACUGCGUCUUUAUCGUCUCAAAACUGUCUCAAUUACCUCUAUUUUAGUGUAUGUAUACAUAGGUCCACACAUACACAUACAGAACGCAGGAACAGCAUAUUGAAAUGUGUGAGGAUAGAGUAGUUCUUUAGAAAGCAGCUGCAUUUAACAAUACUGCAUAACGAUCCUACAAUAAUACCAUAGGCCAGUUGUUUAAAAUAGUUAUUAUAUGAACAAGAAAAAUUAAAAUAUUGAAGCCAAGAUUAAUUCAUCUUCUUCUCCCUUUAUACUGCCUAAAACCAUCCCUUCGUUGCUUGAGUAAUUAUCAAGACAAAUGCUGCGGGAGAAAGAAGACAAUCAAUUCCCACCUUAAACAAUUCCAGCAACAUACCUCAUCUGACGAUAGUGCUAAGGAGUGUGAGAAACCUGGGGUUUUGGGUUCUGCUCCUAAACCACUCAGAUCAGCUGAACUUGUGCUGCUGGGACUGAAGUCAUCGUUGAACGUGAAAUUCUGUAGGGAAAAAAGAUAAUUUGGAAUAAACAAAUGAUCUCAAAUGUGCAUCUCAAAGGGAAAUUGCUUUUCUGUCUUCCAGGUUGGCACAGUUCAGGAGUGAUUUCAAUUGCUUACCAAACCAGUUAAAAUACACACGAGGAAGCUUAAUCUUUUGCAUUGCUAAUGAUUAAUAGAACAUGCUAUAUGCUUUACCACUGUGUACCUCAAGAGACUGCUCUGCCAGCUUAAUGCCUCAAGGACGAGAAAAUCUGAACACUUGGGGCCCCCACGGCAUCCUCAGGCCAGGAGUUCAACAGCUCCACCUCCUGCUCUGUGAAGAACACCUUUUUCCUCUCAACUAUUCUGACUUCUCUUUUACCUCUCUUUUGUAUAAGUUUCACAUUUAUGAUUAAUUUUAGCCCUUUUCAUUGCCCAUUGGAAACACACAAGAUAGCCGAGGCCUGCUAAUAAUACUAAUAAUGGGAGAGCAGGACAAAGGAACACAGAACAAAACAACUUUCACAGCUUAACAGUAAUUGUAAGAAGGGAUACUUUCUCCCAUUUCAAAAUUAUUUUCACUCAGUAUUUGUUUAACAGCACAAACAGGAUUGACACAUCUAACCCUCAUCUUUCUUAUAAAAGGAAACUGAGUAGUUGAUUGGCUGAUUGGCUGAUUCAAAUUCCUGUAUAUAAAGCUGAGAACUAUAUCUGUUUCUUCUUACCAGACCAAUGCAGAAAGUAAACUGUUACAAGUUAUAGAAGGAUAAAGGCAGAGAAAUACUUUCCAGCAGUGAAAAUACACAAGAAAAAGCAAGUACAGUACUAUAACUAAGGGUUACAUAAGGAGUUAUCAUGCUGAAACAUUCAUGCACAUAGAAAGGAGUCACACAGCUGUAUUAAACUGCAGUAGUUCCUAUUUAUAGUUUGAGCAUCUUCAUAUAUAGAAUUAAAUCCAACAUCCAUGCAUGCAUGACAAGCAGAUUUCAGUACUGGGGGAGAAAAAGGCAAAUGACUGACGGCAUACAACAUUUCUUCACUUGCAAACAUCUCAUCUGAAUACAUUAAGAACAGGUCGGUAUUCCUGCAAUCAGUCCUGAAGAAUGCAGAACGUAUCUAUAACUGAAUACACAAAUCUAGCAUUUGUUCAGUGGAUCCAAAUGCUAACUUCCACUGGCACCACUUGUGUUUGUUACAGUACAGCACACCACGGUUAGUUUACUGAGUUAAUGUACAUUAAGAAUAGGAAGGUAGAAUGUGGAAUGGUACAACGAUGGAGAUGCUCUGUUCAGAUGAGCUUUUACCGUACAAUGAACACCAUGCACUGUUUAUUGUAGUGGUAACAUAUUGGCCCGUUCUUCUUCCAGAAACACGAAGCCAAUUAUGCCACUCAACACAGCGGGAAUAAGGUAGUUCUUAUUUUCUACCUUUGACCCUUUUUUAGCUGGGCUUAUGUUUUCAGAGGAAGGUUCUGUUGAGCUGGUAGGUGACGGCAGGUUGCUAGAAGAAUUGGAUCCCUUGCCACCCUCUCCAUACCAUGUGAGUGGUACACAGUGUGGGAGAGAGGAGGACCGUUCUGUUAAAGAUUUACUGUUGGCUGAUUUCUGCAGCAUCUCUCUGGUGGUCCUGCAGAAGAGAAAGGAGCAGGGAUUUGUGUUAGAGAAUAAAAUAUGAAAAAAUGCUACAGAGGUAGCUAAUUGUAAAAAAAUGACAUUCCGUGUAACUGUGACUAAUCAGCACAGUGGCAUGCAGCUGGUGACAGCAUUCUUGAAAUCUCUCUUCUAACAAAAGAAGGAAAAAGCGUGUUCUUUUGAUUUCUUUUCUAACUCUAGCUCUCUGAGAUAACACGCAUGCAGCAAAUGGAGACAGAUGCCUGCACAAAGUGCCUGUGUCCCUGUGUUUUGGUGUGAACCAGCUCCAGUCAAGAAGCCACACGCGGUGCUGGUACCACUGGGCCUUGCUAUCUCAGCGUGAUCAGACUCAGCACUGACCCAGGCAGGCUCUGCUUCCCUGACAGGUCUGGCUUGGAUUUCGAGCGCAGGCAGAAGGAACUGGGUGCGUAUGCACACACCUACAUAGAUGUGCCUUUGUUACAACAGCUAAAUACUGAGAGACAUCUUGGUGUUCUUUUCUGUUUGUUUGUUUGUUUGUUUUGAAUUAAAUAUUGAAAAUACAACUAUAGAAAAAAAAAUGAAAUAAACAUUUGACGUUAUCAGCUAGCCUUUUCAUAGUAGCAGUAUAUAAAUCUUCCCUCAGCUUCUAAAUCAUUAUGAACAUAAUCACUAGCUCUGUGUAUUGGGAAGCUUCUUUUCUGUAUGGAUGAAAUGGAGGCUGCCAGAGAGCCCCCAGACAGCAAGGCAGAACCAGAAUCCUCUCUCCCUUUGGCUACUUAAAUGUAGAUGUGUCUGAUACAGUCCUGUGCUCCCUCCUCGUGCUCCAAUACUGCUUGAAAGAAGACAGAAGGAAUGACGUUGUCCAAAUCACCUACUGCUCCAGGCUAGGGAAUAUAAGCGUAUGUGCCUUCUACUUAAAUGGAGGGAAUCUGUCUAUAUAUUUAACAUCAGUGGUAGCCUUCAGAAAUAAUUCAGGAUUUUCUUCUACACAUCUUCAGUUGUUUUUUGGUAUUUUUUUU
RNAcentral lists this long non-coding RNA (6095 nucleotides) under Gallus gallus (chicken). Lineage: Eukaryota; Metazoa; Chordata; Aves; Galliformes; Phasianidae. The record is from RNAcentral.